This 149-nucleotide ribosomal RNA is filed under the name uncultured eukaryote. RNAcentral describes it as "partial 18S ribosomal RNA". It matches the Rfam family "Eukaryotic small subunit ribosomal RNA", at positions 1299 to 1458 of the family's 1831-position model. The record is from RNAcentral.
UGGUGGAGUGAUUUGUCUGGUUAAUUCCGAUAACGAACGAGACCUCAGCCUGCUAAAUAAGUCACGGGGUAGGGUUUACCCUCCUAUGCCGGAAGUACUUCUUAGAGGGACAAUUCGCCUCGAGCGGAUGGAAGUUAGAGGCAAUAACA